GGUACGGUGGCUCGACAGGUAAGGCAUCGGCCUCAUAAGCCGAGGGACUAGCUCCCGAUCCUGGUUCAAAUCCAGGUCGUACCU
Molecule: transfer RNA, 84 nt
Filed under: Caulobacter phage CcrBL10
Lineage: Duplodnaviria; Heunggongvirae; Uroviricota; Caudoviricetes; Jeanschmidtviridae
Also listed under: 4 other names
Rfam family: tRNA
About the family: Transfer RNA (tRNA) molecules are approximately 80 nucleotides in length. Their secondary structure includes four short double-helical elements and three loops (D, anti-codon, and T loops). Further hydrogen bonds mediate the characteristic L-shaped molecular structure. tRNAs have two regions of fundamental functional importance: the anti-codon, which is responsible for specific mRNA codon recognition, and the 3' end, to which the tRNAs corresponding amino acid is attached (by aminoacyl-tRNA synthetases). tRNAs cope with the degeneracy of the genetic code in two manners: having more than one tRNA (with a specific anti-codon) for a particular amino acid; and 'wobble' base-pairing, i.e. permitting non-standard base-pairing at the 3rd anti-codon position.
Source: Rfam by way of RNAcentral